This 140-nucleotide ribosomal RNA is filed under the name uncultured eukaryote. RNAcentral describes it as "partial 18S ribosomal RNA". It matches the Rfam family "Eukaryotic small subunit ribosomal RNA", at positions 1299 to 1458 of the family's 1831-position model. The record is from RNAcentral.
UGGUGGAGUGAUUUGUCUGGUUAAUUCCGUUAACGAACGAGACCUCAUCCUACUAAUUAGGUCCCCGGAAUCCUUGGAUUCCGACGGGCUUCUUAGGGGUACUAUUGGUUUUAAAUCAAUGGAAGUUUGAGGCAAUAACA